GACGAACGCUGGCGGCGUGCUUAACACAUGCAAGUCGAACGGUGAAGCGCCUUCCUUUUUGGUGGGUGUGGAUGAGUGGCGAACGGGUGAGUAACACGUGAGUAACCUGCCCCCUUCUUCUGGAUAACCGCAUGAAAGCGUGGCUAAUACGGGAUAUUCUGGGUCUGUCGCAUGAUGGGUCUGGGAAAGAUAUUGUUUCGGUGGGGGAUGGGCUCGCGGCCUAUCAGCUUGUUGGUGGGGUGAUGGCCUACCAAGGCGGUGACGGGUAGCCGGCCUGAGAGGGUGGACGGUCACACUGGGACUGAGACACGGCCCAGACUCCUACGGGAGGCAGCAGUGGGGAAUAUUGCACAAUGGGCGUAAGCCUGAUGCAGCGACGCCGCGUGAGGGAUGGAGGCCUUCGGGUUGUGAACCUCUUUCGCCAGUGAAGCAGGCCUGCCUCGUUUGUGGGUGGGUUGACGGUAGCUGGAUAAGAAGCGCCGGCUAACUACGUG
This 494-nucleotide ribosomal RNA is filed under the name uncultured bacterium. RNAcentral describes it as "partial 16S ribosomal RNA". It matches the Rfam family "Bacterial small subunit ribosomal RNA", at positions 28 to 507 of the family's 1533-position model. The record is from RNAcentral.